This 292-nucleotide ribosomal RNA is filed under the name uncultured bacterium. RNAcentral describes it as "partial 16S ribosomal RNA". It matches the Rfam family "Bacterial small subunit ribosomal RNA", at positions 333 to 636 of the family's 1533-position model. The record is from RNAcentral.
AUACGCCUACGGGACGCAGCAGUCGAGAAUCAUUCACAAUGGGGGAAACCCUGAUGGUGCGACGCCGCGUGGGGGAAUGAAGGUCUUCGAAUUGUAAACCCCUGUCAUGUGGGAGCAAAUUAAAAAGAUAGUACCACAAGAGGAAGAGACGGCUAACUCUGUGCCAGCAGCCGCGGCAAUACAGAGGCCUCAAGCGUUGUUCGGAAUCACUGGGCGUAAAGCGUGCUUAGGCUGUUUCGUAAGUCGUGUGUGAAAGACGCGGGCUCAACCCGCGCACGGCACAUGAUACUGC